GCGGGCGUAGCCAAGUGGUAAGGCAGUGGAUUGUGAUUCCACCAUUCGCGGGUUCGAACCCCGUCGUUCGCC
Molecule: transfer RNA, 72 nt
Filed under: Chromochloris zofingiensis
Lineage: Eukaryota; Viridiplantae; Chlorophyta; Chlorophyceae; Sphaeropleales; Chromochloridaceae
Description: tRNA-His
Rfam family: tRNA
About the family: Transfer RNA (tRNA) molecules are approximately 80 nucleotides in length. Their secondary structure includes four short double-helical elements and three loops (D, anti-codon, and T loops). Further hydrogen bonds mediate the characteristic L-shaped molecular structure. tRNAs have two regions of fundamental functional importance: the anti-codon, which is responsible for specific mRNA codon recognition, and the 3' end, to which the tRNAs corresponding amino acid is attached (by aminoacyl-tRNA synthetases). tRNAs cope with the degeneracy of the genetic code in two manners: having more than one tRNA (with a specific anti-codon) for a particular amino acid; and 'wobble' base-pairing, i.e. permitting non-standard base-pairing at the 3rd anti-codon position.
Source: RNAcentral